CGAGCGGCGGACGGGUGAGUAAUGCCUAGGAAUCUGCCUGGUAGUGGGGGAUAACGCUCGGAAACGGACGCUAAUACCGCAUACGUCCUACGGGAGAAAGCAGGGGACCUUCGGGCCUUGCGCUAUCAGAUGAGCCUAGGUCGGAUUAGCUAGUUGGUGAGGUAAUGGCUCACCAAGGCGACGAUCCGUAACUGGUCUGAGAGGAUGAUCAGUCACACUGGAACUGAGACACGGUCCAGACUC
RNAcentral lists this ribosomal RNA (243 nucleotides) under Pseudomonas congelans. Its description in RNAcentral is "partial 16S ribosomal RNA". It matches the Rfam family "Bacterial small subunit ribosomal RNA", at positions 92 to 338 of the family's 1533-position model. The record is from RNAcentral. Lineage: Bacteria; Pseudomonadati; Pseudomonadota; Gammaproteobacteria; Pseudomonadales; Pseudomonadaceae.